RNAcentral lists this transfer RNA (73 nucleotides) under Batrachospermum sp. Its description in RNAcentral is "tRNA-Gln". It matches the Rfam family "tRNA". Rfam says of the family: Transfer RNA (tRNA) molecules are approximately 80 nucleotides in length. The record is from RNAcentral. Lineage: Eukaryota; Rhodophyta; Florideophyceae; Batrachospermales; Batrachospermaceae.
UGGUGUAUAGCCAAAAAGGUAAGGCAUUGGCUUUUGAUGCUAAUAUAUACAGGUUCGAGUCCUGUUACACCAG